This 478-nucleotide ribosomal RNA is filed under the name uncultured bacterium. RNAcentral's name for it is "partial 16S ribosomal RNA". It matches the Rfam family "Bacterial small subunit ribosomal RNA", at positions 28 to 523 of the family's 1533-position model. The record is from RNAcentral.
GACGAACGCUGGCGGCGUGCUUAACACAUGCAAGUCGAACGGUAAGGCCCUUCGGGGUACACGAGUGGCGAACGGGUGAGUAACACGUGGGUGAUCUGCCCUGCACUUCGGGAUAAGCCUGGGAAACUGGGUCCAAUACCGGAUAGGACUCCUGGCUUCAUGGUUGGGAGUGGAAAGCUUUUGCGGUGUGGGAUGGGCCCGCGGCCUAUCAGCUUGUUGGUGGGGUAAUGGCCUACCAAGGCGACGACGGGUAGCCGGCCUGAGAGGGUGACCGGUCACACUGGGACUGAGAUACGGCCCAGACUCCUACGGGAGGCAGCAGUGGGGAAUAUUGCACAAUGGGCGCAAGCCUGAUGCAGCGACGCCGCGUGAGGGAUGACGGCCUUCGGGUUGUAAACCUCUUUCAGCUAUGACGAAGCGUAAGUGACGGUAGUAGCAGAAGAAGGACCGGCCAACUACGUGCCAGCCGCCGCUGUAA